AAAGGUAUAGUUCAUUGUAGAGUGCGUGCUUAGCAUGCAUGAGGUCCUGGGUUUAAUCUCCAGUACCUCCA
This 71-nucleotide transfer RNA is filed under the name Camelus ferus (Wild Bactrian camel). It matches the Rfam family "tRNA". Rfam says of the family: Transfer RNA (tRNA) molecules are approximately 80 nucleotides in length. Lineage: Eukaryota; Metazoa; Chordata; Mammalia; Artiodactyla; Camelidae. The record is from Rfam by way of RNAcentral.